Molecule: RNA transcript, 2339 nt
Organism: Prinia subflava (tawny-flanked prinia)
Lineage: Eukaryota; Metazoa; Chordata; Aves; Passeriformes; Cisticolidae
Gene name: histidine--tRNA ligase, cytoplasmic-like
Exons: 12
Source: RefSeq, a predicted model, not a curated record
CCGCCGCGGUCACGUGCCCGCGCUCCCGGUGUCCCGGUGCCGGCCAUGCUGCGCCUCCGAGCCUUGGCCGCCGCCGCCCGCUGCCUGCCACCGGCGCCCCGCCCCGUGCCGCUGUGCCUCGCUGGGAGCCGCCGCAGCCUCUCCCGGUCCCGGCCGCCGGCCGGUGACCGCGGACCCCUGUCCCGGCAGGUGCGGGCGGCGGCGGGCGGCGAGCGGGUGCCGGUGCUAAAGACACCCAAGGGCACCCGCGACCACCCUCCGGCGCAGGCGGCGCUCCGUGAGCGGCUCCUCGGCGCCGUGGUGUCCUGCUUCAAGCGGCACGGGGCGGCCGCCAUCGACACCCCGGUGCUGGAGCUGCGGGAGACGCUGAUGGGGAAGUAUGGGGAGGACACGAAGCUCAUCUACGAGCUGCAGGACCAGGGCGGGGAGCUGCUGGCCCUGCGCUAUGACCUCACCGUGCCCUUUGCUCGCUACCUGGCCAUGAACAAGAUCACCAACAUGAAGCGCUACCACGUGGCCAAGGUGUACAGGAGGGACAACCCGGCCACGACCCGGGGCCGCUACCGCGAGUUCUACCAGUGCGACUUUGACAUUGCCGGGCAGUUUGACCCGAUGAUUCCCGAUGCCGAGUGCCUGAAGAUCGUGCACGAGAUCCUGAGUGACCUGCAGCUCGGGGACUUUGUCAUCAAGGUCAACGAUCGUCGGAUUUUGAAUGGUGUGUUUGCUGUCUGUGGUGUUCCAGAGAGCAAGUUCAUCCCUGCCUGCUCCACUGUGGACAAGCUGGACAAGAUGCCAUGGGAAGAAGUGAGGAGUGAGAUGGUGGGAGAGAAGGGGCUCUCUCCCGAGGCUGCGGAUCGCAUCGGGGAGUAUGUCCAGCUCCACGGUGGGCUGGAGCUGAUCGAGCGGCUUCUCCAGGACCCCAAGCUGUCCCAGAACAAGCUGGCCAAGGAAGGGCUGGGGGACAUGAAGCUGCUGUUUGAGUACCUGACGCUGUUUGGCAUCACAGGGAAGAUCUCCUUCGACCUGAGCCUGGCGCGGGGCCUGGACUAUUACACGGGGGUGAUCUUUGAGGCUGUGCUGCUGCAGCAGGAGAACGAGCACGUGGAGGAGCCCGUCAGCGUUGGGAGCGUGGCUGGAGGUGGCCGCUACGACGGGCUGGUGGGGAUGUUUGAUCCCAAGGGCCGGAAGGUGCCCUGUGUGGGGGUCAGCAUCGGGAUCGAGCGGAUCUUCUCCAUCCUGGAACAGAGACUGGAGGCUUCUGGGGAGAAACUUCGAACUACUGAGACCCAAGUGCUGGUGGCUACCCCGCAGAAACACCUGCUUGCUGCCAGACUGAAGCUCAUCUCUGAGCUGUGGGACGCAGGGAUCAAGAACUGCCCACUCGGAUGUGGGGGCUGCUUUCCUACAGAUCUGGGCAGGCAGAGAAGAUCAAUCCAGACCAGUAAAAUGAUUGCUGCAGGGUUUGGUAUCAGUGCUUUACUGCAGUGUUCAUCGGAGCAAAGUUGGGUUAGUGAUUCACCCUUCCCACUCCCUCCUAGGCAGAGAUGCUGUACAAGAAAGAUCCUAAAUUGCUGAAGCAGCUGCAGUAUUGUGAGGACACAGGGAUCCCCCUUGCUGCCAUUGUGGGGGAGCAGGAGCUGGCAGACGGAGUCGUCAAGCUGCGAGAUGUUGCAACAAGAGUGGAGGUUGAUAUCCCCAGAGAAAAGCUUAUUGAUGAGAUCAGGAGAAGGCUGGAGCCCUGAGGGCUGCUCUGGCUGGAGCUGCUUGGCUGAACUGCACAACUGGAACCCUCCUGCAGCCCCCCAGCCAUUCACUGCCAGCUGCGGCCUGGGGCACACCCACUCACUAAGGCUCAUUGCCGUGGCCAAGGCAGUGAGAACAGAGCAGUAGGAGGGUUUUAAAAGCUACGGACGGUGCAGUCACCAGGUUAACCUUCUGGCAAGCCUCUCUGAAGGUCAAGUGUGUGGGUUCCUCAUACCGCGGUCCCUGUACUGUACAGCCAUUUCCAUCACUCUAGGUGGUUGGUGGUGGCACAGAUGGAUGUGGUGCAGCUCAAGAGGACCAGGUGGAAGCCCAGGUUUGGGAGGGGGAGUCCGUGGUGUGCUGGGCACAGCUCGGGAGCUGCGGCGAGGGGGCCGUGCAAGGGCACCCGGCGCCGUGUGGGCUGCGGGGCCGGGCCCAGGCCGCAGCUCGGCGGGCGCGGAGCUGCGGGACGUCCCUGGAGGAAGCACGUGUCCCAUCACCGAGGGACACACCGAGCGGCUGGAGCAGCCGCGCAGGCUGCGGCGCGCGUGGGCAGGCUGUAUAUUUUUAUAUAUUAAACAAAGCCCGUUAAUGAA